GUGUUGUAUGAAAGAGAGAAGGUGAGCAGUCCCCUUGACAAGGAGGGACGAGGCUGUUGGGCCUGAUGCCAUGCACACGGCCAGGCAUUGCUGCCUCCCUGGCGGCCCCUGAGCAUCAUCUUUU
Small nuclear RNA from Callorhinus ursinus (northern fur seal), 124 nucleotides. The record is from RefSeq and is a predicted model, not a curated record. Lineage: Eukaryota; Metazoa; Chordata; Mammalia; Carnivora; Otariidae.